CUUGCCAAAUGUAAUACUUCACUAACAUUACAUUUUAACAAACUUCUAUCGAAACAGAGUUUUGAGAGAUGAAAAACUGUUUUCAACAAACAUUUUUAAUUCCGCUCAUAGCCAAUGAAAAUUGUGCCAAAAUCGUAAUUUGGUAAAACAUCAAAACUGGCUCCCACUAUCGAUAUAUUGAUAUGUUAUUACCACUCUUGAAAGCAAAUGAACAGUUUUAUUUAAUGGACAAGGAGAGGAAAGCAUAUGAUGUGCUUCUACAAACAAUAAACAGUCGAGCGCGCUGCUCUUCUUCAGCGGAGCAAGGACUUUACCAGCGGCAACUGCAGUUCCUGCGCGACAUUGAAAUACAGACGCCUGCAGGACCAUAUGGCGCAAACACAGCGGCCCAGCUUGCACAUCUGCUGACAGAGGAGACGCUGGUAAGUGGUGGGCUUGGCGAUGACUCAUUGAACCUGAGCGCAUGGCUGCUCUGGCUAAACGAGCUGCUCUUGAGCCGAAAACAGCAGCUUGGCGAGACGCAGCCGAUGCUCGAGUGGCUUUUGCAGCGUGUGGAACACAAAUGCGCGGUUGAUGCACUGCGCUGCCUGCUCUCGCUGCUGGAGUCGCUGCCAGUGGGUACAGCGUCCACGUACUUUUCACGCUUGGUAGCUAUUCAGAUGCCGUCCAGCGUGGAGGCAGCGCUGCUGUUGGUGCUGUGCCAGGAUAAGCUGUUCAGCACGUUGUGUACCCCAAAUGCGGAACUGCAGGUGCAGGAAUUGCAGCAGAGCAGCCAGUUGGCUAACUCGUUGCUGCAAAUGCACUACGAUGGGCGCUGGACAAGGAUGACAGCCGCCGAAACGAGGCAGCAGGAGGAGCAGUUAACGAUGCUGGUGGCGCACUCGCUGCAGCUGCUGCAAAAGAUUUCGGCGCAGCAUGCGGACUAUGCUCAGCAGCAUGCGCCAGAGCUGCUCGGCAUGGCUCUAGCGAAUGUGCGAUGCAGAACCGAUGGAGAAACGGUGAAAGCAAUAUACCAAUUGCCACAUCGGGUGCAUCCUGCCCAACAAUCAGCAGUCUAUGGGCAGGACGAUGAGGAUUUGUCAAUUGGCAGCAAUCAAAACACAGCUGCAGCCGGAAGACGCGUCAAGUCCCGCAAGAUGCGCUCACUGACCAAGCAGCGAAACAAUGGCAAUAUACAGGAAAGCACUGGCACAGCUGGCCACGGCGAUCGGAUGCAUCUGCUGCUGCUGGGCAACAACGACUACGGCUGUCGAACACCGAGUGGCGGUGACUCUGAGGGCGGCUGCACUCCCACUUCGGACGGCGCUGGGCAACAGUUGGCGGGACAAAAGCAGCAGCGCCAAUGCCUAGUUAAGGUACGCGUCGCAGCCCUUCAACUGUUGGGCGCAGUCACCAAACAACUGCCUCGGCGCACUCUCUAUGGCUACUGGCAUGUGCUCUUUCCCAGCGGAAGCGGAGGUGCUGCUGCUGGCGGACGCGAGACAAAGGAUCACUUGCUGUAUAUUGGCGCCAAUGAUGGCAAUGUGCGUUGCCGAGCCCUGGCGCUCCAGUUAGCUGCUCAGCUGCUGUACGGCUCCAAGCCAUAUCUAAGCCAAGCGAGCUGCGCUUUGGCGCCAAGCAACUACACACCAUUUGCAAUGAGCCUGGCCAGCAGCGUGCUGGAAGCGUAUCGUCAACUGACGGGCAUACUAGAGCGCGAGUAUGCGCCGCCGGUGCUGACGCAGUGCCUUAAGUGUCUGGCGGUGCUGGUGCAGGCGACGCCUUUCGAGCAACUGCAAAUGGGCAUCGUCUAUGAGUUUGUGCCGCAUGUGAAAAUGUUAACGCGGCAUGUGGACACCAGCGUAAAGGUGUCUGCGCUGCUGGUCAUGGAAAUGCUGGUGGCAACGCCACGCCUUACACGGGAGAUGGCCUGUGCCGUGGGUCUUCCGCCAAACGAACGUCGGGCUGUCAACAUGGUUCAUGCGUCGCCGCGCCUCAAUGCCCACCAGGAUCCGGAGCAACAAUUCCAACAGCUCUGUGACUCCGAAGAGGAGGAGGGAGAGGAGACGGAGGCGAUGUCGGAAGCGGCGGCGGUCCCAUCAGCAGAGCAAGAGGUGCUGCCACCCUCCAUUGUGUUGCCUUGGAAUCGCAUUCCGCGCAACUCGUGGCUGUUGCGUUUGGUCCUGCGCUAUCUGGACUGCCCGGCGAGCGCGGCGCCGCUGCGUGUCGAGUGCCUUCAGGUGCUCCUGGCCAUGGCCACGCAUUUUGGGCUCUUACGCGAACAUCUGGGGCGCCUAGCUGAUGUGCUUUGCAGCGCCUUGCAGGAUUCCUCGUGGGAUGUACGCUUGUAUGGAGCACGCUGCCUCGACGCGAUCGGCUUCCAGAUGACUCGUCAUGCAAUGGAGCAAUCAGACCCCAGACCCGAGCUGCAGCAGCAGCAUUUGAAUUUCUGGCUACGCAUGCUGCCUGCCAUUUAUGGCGCCUACACGGAUGCAGGGGAGGCGACGUUGCGCAGCUCGCUAUGCGAUGCACUUUCCAACAUGGGCGGCAACAGUUUCGAACGCUUGCCGCAGGCACAGCGCACCGGUCUGCUGGCGUUUCUUUUGGGCUGCAGCAGCGACGACGCCGCGGAUCAUCUGGUGCGAGCAGCGGCCGUGCGAGCGCUCGCAGUUUAUGUGCUGCAUCCCACGCUGCGGGACGAUCUAGUAUUUGUGGAGCAUGCAGCUGAGCUGGCGCUGCGUCUCAUCGGCGACAGUCAACUGGCUGUGCGGAUCAAGGCCGCGUGGGCGUUGGGCAAUAUCAGUGAUGCCCUUGUGGCGCCCAUCCAUGCAGUUUCGGAUCCGGAACGACAGGAGACGCAAGAGAAGGAGCGCAUUUCGCAGGCUCUGCUCGGACGACUGAUCGAAGCCGCUGUCGGGGCGUGCGGGGACCAUGACAAGGUACGCGCCAAUGGAGUCCGCGCUCUAGGCAAUUUGCUGCGUCUGCUGCCUGGCGAUGAGCAUGCACUAAUGCAGCGGGGGAUGACCAAGCUGCUCGACUGUGUGCGCGCCGCGGGCAGCGCCAAAGUCAAAUGGAACGCCUGCUAUGCCAUUGGGAAUUUGGUGCGCAAUCGUGCAGUAUUCUCGACUAGCGCCAGCUUGGCGGGCACACUUUUUGCGGCACUCAGUCAGCUGAUUGUGCAGCACUCGAACUUCAAGGUGCGCAUCAAUGCUACCGCCGUUCUGCUGCAGAUCGAGCAGCGCGCAGACAUCGGUGUCCACUAUGCAACCAUGUGGCGCUCACUGCUGGCGGCCAUCGAACGCUCCAAUGCUCUGGACACUUUCGAGGAGUACAACCAUCGUGACGGACUGCAGCAGCAGCUCUGCCUGGCCCUGGCACAUAUGCUGGGGCGUGCGCGUCCCGAUGAUCUGUUGUCCUGCCGUGACGCACUUGAAACACACCUGGAUGUAGUCAGCGGCACCUGGCGUCGUGUUGCAUAUCGCAUUGUCCCCGAGCAGGCGGCACCGCUGUUCACAUGCGGUUCCUUGCUGCAGCAACGCCUUGGUGCCCAUUCGCUCACCGCCGAGCAGCGAAGCGCACUCACAUUCCUCGCCGGUGCACUGCGUCUGGAGAGUUAACCUUGCUGCCAACAAGUUCGAUGCAGUUGGUCCCUACGAUUCUAACACACCAAGUCCUUUGAAAAUCUGCUAGGAUUUGGCCGAGUUAUGACGGUUUUUCUGAAAAGGACACUCGUUUUUUAGUCAUAUCUCCGCCAUAUCCUUUGGCAUCUCGGAGGGUCACACCUUUUUGAACUCGCAGGAAGCAGGACAAGCGAUUAGCAUUCAAGGAAUUCCAGGAUUCGACAAAAAAUUUCACCGAAAAAUUGUUAAGGGGGCUAACCAAUCAAGGACUGCAAUAAAUCCCAAGGACCUCUACGAGUUACAAGCAACCAGGAUCGACCUUUAAUUAAGCCAUUUUAAGCCCAAAUAAGCUACAUUUAUAAAAUAUCCUUGUUUUGCAUAAUUUUGAAGGAAAAUAACAUUAAACAUAAACAAUUUUGUAAAAUAAAGCAUAAUAAAUCAGCAUAUAAAACGAA
Drosophila virilis is the source of this 4054-nucleotide RNA transcript. It is a transcript of the gene named HEAT repeat-containing protein 6, with no coding region annotated. Lineage: Eukaryota; Metazoa; Arthropoda; Insecta; Diptera; Drosophilidae. The record is from RefSeq and is a predicted model, not a curated record.